Molecule: ribosomal RNA, 614 nt
Filed under: Ochthebius dilatatus
Lineage: Eukaryota; Metazoa; Arthropoda; Insecta; Coleoptera; Hydraenidae
Description: partial 16S ribosomal RNA
Rfam family: Bacterial large subunit ribosomal RNA (bases 378-536)
Source: RNAcentral
GUCUUUUUGUUUAAUAUUUAAAGUCUAACCUGCCCAAUGAUUAUUUUAAUGGCUGCGGUAUUUUGACCGUACAAAGGUAGCAUAAUCAUUAGUUUUUUAAUUGAAAACUUGUAUGAAUGGUUGAACGAGAAAAUUACUGUCUCAAUUUAAAUUUAUUAGAAUUUUAUUUUUAAGUUAAAAAGCUUAAAUUUAAUUAAAAGACGAGAAGACCCUAUAGAGUUUAAUAUUUAUUGAAAAUAAUUUUUAAGAAUUUUAUAAUUUUUUUUAAGUAUUUUGUUGGGGUGAUAAAUAAAUUUAAUUAACUUUAUUAUUUUAAAAUCAUUAAUUUAUGAUUAAUUGAUCCAAAUUUUUUGAUUAAAAGAUUAAAUUACCUUAGGGAUAACAGCGUAAUUUUUUUUGAGAGUUCUUAUCGAAAAAAAAGAUUGCGACCUCGAUGUUGGAUUAAAAUUAAUUUUUGGUGUAGAAGCUAAUAUAUUAAGUCUGUUCGACUUUUAAUUUUUUACAUGAUCUGAGUUUAAAUCGGCGUGAGCCAGAUUGGUUUCUAUCUUUAUUAAAUUAAAAUAUUUUAGUACGAAAGGACCAAAUAUUUAUAAAAUUUAUUUUAUUUUGAAUAU